AUUGAACGCUGGCGGAAUGCUUUACACAUGCAAGUCGAACGGCAGCACGGACUUCGGUCUGGUGGCGAGUGGCGAACGGGUGAGUAAUGUAUCGGAACGUGCCCAGUCGUGGGGGAUAACGUAGUGAAAAUUACGCUAAUACCGCAUACGAUCUAUGGAUGAAAGCGGGGGGUCGCAAGACCUCGCGCGAUUGGAGCGGCCGAUAUCAGAUUAGGUAGUUGGUGGGGUAAAGGCCCACCAAGCCAACGAUCUGUAGCUGGUCUGAGAGGACGACCAGCCACACUGGAACUGGGAGACGGUCCAGAGUCCUACGGGAGGCAGCAGUGGGGAAUUUUGGACACUGGGCGAAAGCCUGAUCCAGCCAUUCCGCGUGCAGGAUGAAGGCCCUCGGGUUGUAAACUGCUUUUGUACAGAACGAAAAGGUUUCUACUAAUACUAGGAGCUCAUGACGGUACUGUAAGAAUAAGCACCGGCUAACUACGUGCCAGCCGCCGCCGUAA
Molecule: ribosomal RNA, 500 nt
Filed under: uncultured bacterium
Lineage: Bacteria
Description: partial 16S ribosomal RNA
Rfam family: Bacterial small subunit ribosomal RNA
Source: RNAcentral